Molecule: ribosomal RNA, 253 nt
Filed under: uncultured bacterium
Lineage: Bacteria
Description: partial 16S ribosomal RNA
Rfam family: Bacterial small subunit ribosomal RNA
Source: RNAcentral
UACGAACCGUACAAACGUUAUUCGGAAUCACUGGGCUUAAAGGGUGCGUAGGCGGCCAUGUAAGUGAGGUGUGAAAUCCCUCGGCUCAACCGAGGAACUGCGCUUCAUACUGCAUGGCUUGAGGGAGACAGGGGUAAGCGGAACUGAUGGUGGAGCGGUGAAAUGCGUUGAUAUCAUCAGGAACACCGGUGGCGAAAGCGGCUUACUGCGUCUCUUCUGACGCUGAGGUACGAAAGCUAGGGUAGCGAACGGG